GUGUCAGCAGCCGCGGUAAGACGGAGGGGGCUAGCGUUGUUCGGAAUGACUGGGCGUAAAGAGCGCGUAGGCGGUUUAUUAAGUGAGGCGUGAAAGCCCUGGGCUUAACCUAGGAUGUGCGUUUCAUACUGAUGGACUAGAGUACGAGAGAGGAAAGCGGAAUUCCUAGUGUAGAGGUGAAAUUCGUAGAUAUUAGGAAGAACACCGGUGGCGAAGGCGGCUUUCUGGCUCGUAACUGACGCUGAGGCGCGAAAGCGUGGGGAGCAAACAGGAUUAGAUACCCCGGUAGUCC
Molecule: ribosomal RNA, 292 nt
Filed under: uncultured bacterium
Lineage: Bacteria
Description: partial 16S ribosomal RNA
Rfam family: Bacterial small subunit ribosomal RNA
Source: RNAcentral